GAUGAAGAACGCAGCGAAAUGCGAUAAGUAAUGUGAAUUGCAGAAUUCAGUGAAUCAUCGAAUCUUUGAACGCACAUUGCGCCCGCCAGUAUUCUGGCGGGCAUGCCUGUUCGAGCGUCAUUACAACCCUCAGGCCCCCGGGCCUGGCGUUGGGGAUCGGCGGAAGCCCCCUGCGGGCACAACGCCGUCCCCCAAAUACAGUGGCGGUCCCGCCGCAGCUUCCAUUGCGUAGUAGCUAACACCUCGCAACUGGAGAGCGGCGCGGCCACGCCGUAAAACACCCAACUUCUGAAUGUUGACCUCGAAUCAGGUAGGAAUACCCGCUGAACUUAAGCAUAUCAAUAAGCGGAGGC
Molecule: unclassified non-coding RNA, 353 nt
Filed under: soil metagenome
Description: partial contains 5.8S ribosomal RNA, internal transcribed spacer 2, and large subunit ribosomal RNA
Rfam family: 5.8S ribosomal RNA (bases 1-120)
Source: RNAcentral